CCUACGGGAGGCAGCAGUGAGGAAUAUUGGUCAAUGGACGGAAGUCUGAACCAGCCAUGCCGCGUGCAGGAAGACGGCUCUAUGAGUUGUAAACAGCUUUUGCACAAGGGUAAACCUGAAUACGUGUAUUCAGCUGAAAGUACUGUACGCAUAAGGAUCGGCUAACUCCGUGCCAGCAGCCGCGGUAAUACGGAGGAGACAAUCGUUAUUCGGAUUUAUUGGGCUUAAAGGGUGCGUAGGCGGAUUGAUAAGUUAGAGGUGAAAUGUCCGAGCUUAACUUGGGAACUGCCUCGACUACUGUUGGGCUAGAGAGUUGAUGCGGUAGGUGGAAUGUAUGGUGUAGCGGUGAAAU
Molecule: ribosomal RNA, 352 nt
Filed under: uncultured bacterium
Lineage: Bacteria
Description: partial 16S ribosomal RNA
Rfam family: Bacterial small subunit ribosomal RNA
Source: RNAcentral